Molecule: non-coding RNA, 5396 nt
Organism: Rhopilema esculentum
Lineage: Eukaryota; Metazoa; Cnidaria; Scyphozoa; Rhizostomeae; Rhizostomatidae
Source: RefSeq, a predicted model, not a curated record
AACCUUUAAUAUAUAAAGUUUAGCUCCAUUAUAGGAUCUAGAAAUUUCUCCUGUAGAAUAUCAGGAAAAACUACCUGAUGAUUAUUGAUCAUAAAACUAAGAGUGGCAAUCCAUGCUUCCAAGCUUCAAGACAAGGGACAUCAAAUUUUGGCAAAAUAAUUUGGGGAGAGCCAAUAAUUUUAGUAUGAUUUAGUUUCAAAGAUUUAGGGCAAUAUGGUAUUACUUCCUUUCCUGUCCACAUAUCUACCCCACCCCCUUUUCUGCAUAUUAUAUGAAAAGGUGGCAGUGUGUAUAACUGGCAUGGCUUUAGGCUUGGGUUUGUCAACAUUGCUGGUUAACUCAGUUAAUAGGGCAACAAUGUUAGCUGUGGCUGGUUUGCUUCCUACCCUCAUCAUGUGGCCAACACACAAUUUCUCCUACUCAGUAUAUUUUCACAAAUCCUGGUCCACUUUUCAAGAUUGUGCGAGGCUACACUUUUUUGUGCAACCAUCAAAUAUACUCGUGAAUUUUUAAAGUUCUGUUAUCUUAUCAUGUUAGUUUUUCAGUCAUGCAGUUUUAAUAUCGCUGAAGGAAGCAGGUUUUUUGUAAACAAAACUUUACAAUCGAAGAUAACUGUUAAAGACAAUUUUAAAGACAAGGCUGAUCUCAAGAAAACAUGCAGUCAUUCGUUUAUUCAAUAAAAUUUGCUCGACAAUACUCGACAAAAGUUUCCUGUGCCAAAGUCACUGCAAGCAGCUUGGUCAAAUCCAAUAGUUGUUGUAGUUGUUUUUGAGUUGUUGCUGCUGCGUAUUGUUGUGGCAGAAUGGGGAUAAAUUCUUUGGGGUGGAUUAAAGAUCAACAUUGCCAGAAAUGCUGAGUUAUCGAUAAAGAGUGGAGUGAGAAGAAUGUAUAUUUCAUUUUGGAGUGAAACAAUUUGUUCUUGUGUGCUGAAUGAUUCCAUAAGGCGAUAUCUAUGAGAGUGUCGUCAAUCUAUGAAGUUCAGUUGUGACCAGCCCAGCAGCGGAAAAGUUUGUGGGUUAUUUCUCGAGCUUGCAGCCAUGAUACAACGCAGCCCACUACAGGGAGAAGAGCAUCAAUAGUGAAAAUAAUUUGAGUUGUAUUGAAAACUUUAUCACUUUGAAGCAAUAUGAAUAUUAUACAAGGACAUGGGAAAAUCGAGUCCCGAACAGUUUUCGUGAAAUGGAAGAGGAGAUGGAUGGUUUUGCAAGAUAGGAAAGAUCCCCCUGAAAAAGCGAUUUUCUUGUUUAAAAGUGAAAAGGACACUAAGCACCCAGAAAAGGAGAAAAUUAUUCUAGUCAAUGUAAACAGCAUCAAAAGAAAAUAUUUUUCUGACAGUAAACAUGUUUUGACUUUGGAGUACAAGGAUAAAAAUGUUGAAAAAAUAAUGUUUGCAUCAGAAGCAGAGUUGAAUGGCUGGUAUGAGCAAUUAAAUGUUGUUUGUUUUGGAUCUGUUCUUGGCAAUUCACUCGAGAAAGUAAAAAACACUGCUAAUGAGCAAAAUAAUCCUGAAGCUACUGAAGUAACAGAGGAAGUGGUAGCCAAAAAAGAUUUGUUCUCAGUCCACCUUCAACCAUCAGCAAAACUAAGUAUAUCUGGGGAUUGUGAACUUGAAGUUUCAACAGAAGAAAUCAUACUCUUUGAUGUAAAAUGCUCAAAUGUGAAACUUGUUUCAUGGCCAAUACCAUCCUUACGGCGGUUUGGUUUUGAUGCCACUAGGUUUACUUUUGAGGCUGGAAGACGCUGUGACACUGGGGAGGGUAUGUUUGUUUUCAAGACUAAAGAUGGUGAAAGAAUCCAUCAAUUGGUGCAAAGCUAUGCACACCAACUAGCAUUUGAUUCCAGUAAAUGCUUAUCAGCUGAUGACAGUGACAAUGACAAUUGCAUUUUUCGUCCACUUCCUCCAGUUCCAAACGCUGUGACACUGGGGAGGGUAUGUUUGUUUUCAAGACUAAAGAUGGUGAAAGAAUCCAUCAAUUGGUGCAAAGCUAUGCACACCAACUAGCAUUUGAUUCUAGUAAAUGCUUAUCAGCUGAUGACAGUGACAAUGACAAUUGCAUUUUUCAUCCACUUCCUCCAGUUCCAACAAUAAAACCACAUUUGGCAACCCAGCAAGGACUGCUUCGUGCAGUGGCGUAGAUAUAUGCUGUGAAAAUUCAAGUUUUAUGAGUGGGAGUUCUUAGGUAUUUAUGAAUGCAUGCAUGCUUUACACCAAUCAAUAUAUGAAUGCUACAUUUUAAUGAUUUUUAGAGUUAGAGCAUCAAAGAUUCAGCAUAGGUUAAUGAGUAAGAGAGGCUCGUAAAUCAUCAUCUGUAUUUAUAGAUAUCUUGCGCUGUUUCUAGUUGUAGCCUUGUUAUUCUGAUUACCCUAUGGUGUUGAUCAUAGAGUUCUACUUUUACAAGGCAUUACCAAACAAGAAACCAUUCCGGAAUCGUUACGAUAUCGUGGAUUGUGUUGACUUGCUCUGAAAUCUUAAUCAAGAUAGUUUGUGAUGAAGCAGUGUCUCAUUCUUGAUACUUGUUGUGGAAACUAGUUUCAUCAAUAAUGCAAGAAAGAGCUUUUUCUAGUUAUGUUGAAGAUCUUUUAAUAACAGAGAAGAGGCUUUCAAUUAUCACACUUUCUAUUUCGGCUGUCUUUGUUCAGGUGUACUUUUAACCAGCGUACAAGAAUAAACUAAUAGCAAGGUGACUUACCAUAUCUCUUGCAUUCACAUUCACAUGCACUUGUUUUACCAGAUAUUCUGCAAUCUCCAUUUUCUUUCUGAAAAUGGCGUAAUGCAGUGGUGUGGUCCCUGCGUGGUCAGGUCGGUUGAAGUCAAACUCUAUUCCGUAGAAUACUUUGACUAUAUCCAAAUGUCCGUUUUUGAUUGCCUGUUCAAAAAGAAUCAUCAUUAGGAUUGGCGACACAUUACAACAAAAGGAAAGAGAUCAAAUUCAGCCACUAUCCUCUCUACUUUAAAAAUGUUGGUUUAAAAAAGAAAAUGAUCUAUAAAGUUGUCGGAAAUUGUUACCUUAAAUAGCAGUGAGGGGUGCCAACGUGAAAGGAAAGGUAGAUUGCAAAAAUUGACACUAACGAACAGGACCAUAUUUAGAGAGAGAUAUAUCUUACCAUAAAAAUAGGACUCCUCCCAAAUCUGUCAAUAGUGAUUUUGCCAUCAGCAUCCAAAAUGAGCCGUACCACUUGAAUUCUGCCGGCGAGGCAUCCAUAAUGCAGUGCCGUGCUGCAAAAUUGCAAUAGAAUUUAUGCAACCUUUAUCUAUAGAUAACUAAAGAGACUAACGUUUUUCACGAAGAAAGCAAAAACUCAAAUUGCUACAUAGAAAAUUAAAGCAUCAAAGAAAAUAAUAGUUCUAAGUUUGUAGACCCCUUUGAAAGGCCAAAAAUAUCACAGAUUUCUUUCCAGGAAAGAUAAAAAUUUAAGGGAGGGGGAUAAACAUUUAUAGGCACUUUAAAGACACAACAAAUGACACAAGACACAAAUAAAAUGUACACUAGUGGUGAGAUAUAAAGUAAAAGUAAUGUGUAAUAAUUUUAUUGAUGCUAGAUAGCACGAAUACAAAUGAUUUGAAUUCGUUUAAAAGGUUAAAAUAUAUAUGAAACAGAUAAGGACUAUUAACAAAAUCUGUUAAAGAAUAGAAUAAAAUGUAUUUAAAAAGGAAUUGUCAGAAUAUCUUGGAAACAUUUCAAACUAAUAUGUUCUGCUUUAUUAUUACUUGAUUUAUCAUAAAGAAAAUAGAUUAAAACGAGGAAUAAAUAAAGCUGAUUGCCAGAUAAAGUUGAAUUGAAUAUGUCUUCUUUAAUUAGUUAGUUCUCUAAAUAUUAAGACAUCCUAUUGUUAAAAACUUUUAAGAAGAACAUACCGUCCUUCGACAUCCUUCUUGUUGAUAUCAACUCGUCUUUUCUUUAAAAGACUUUGCAAUUUCUGAAUCUUGUUCUUGUACGCGGCUCGGUGUAACCUUGGAAGAUCCCAAAGGUUUAAGCCGUCUUCAUUCGUACUCGCUGUUGAGCGGUGAAAAAACUUAGACAACAUUGUCAAUCCUUCGCAACCGACGUUCACAACGCAACUGAUUAAAAAUGUUCACCGAAGAUGAUAAGUUACAAAUUGUUCGUAAUUUGACGUCAUAUCAAUGAAGGAUUAUCCAUCGUCAUAGUUGAUUUGGAAGCGAAAAGCCUGGUACCUAAUUUGCGUCUCUACAAAAAGUGUUUCCAAAGCAGAAUUUGGCAGAAGAGCUAAUUAAAAGAAAUGAAGAACAAGUCUUACUGCUAAAAUUAUCAAAAAACCUUUCAAUAAUGGUUGUUCAUUGAUAGACUGUGUAUUUAUAAGCAUCGGGUUGUUAAAGCAGACAGUUUUCAGAUCUUACGUCACUUUUACCGCUUGAAUACGAGGUUACUCUUGGUCUCUUUUGCGGAAGCAAUUUGUUAGUGUUUUUGAAAACAGUGUGAGAAUAGGAUGCCUCCUUGGAGGCACAAAAAAGGAAAAUAGAUAAUGAAAUACCACAGAGCAAGAUCUGAAGAUUCCCACAAUAAUAGCUAACAUCAUUGGGUCUUUGGGAAUCUGCAAAACAGACGUAGUAAUAGUAUCAUUGCAUAGCUUUUGCCAAAGACAAUAAAGAUAAGCUGGGAGAAAAUGUCCAAAAAUCUAUUAAACAAUUUUAUUCAGAUUAAUUUUCUGGAAGAAGGGCAACUAAAACGAAUCCAAUGAAUACCGUUUGAAACCUAAGUUUUAUCCAGGAAAAUUGUUCGACCACCAGAAGAAUCGCUUACUUUUCGAUUUUACACAAACAAAAUGUUUUCUUGUAAACCUCAGAGUACGGGAAGGAUUUGCAUUUUCAAUUCUGAUAAGAUAAAACCUUAUCUUGUCGAUAAUUCAUACAAGUUCAUUUUUAACAACUUAGAAUUACUAUUCAAAACAAAUAUCUACGAUAAAAUGUUCACUGCGAAAUCUCAGAAGCCAUUUCGUUUCUAAACUCAUGGGGGAGGAAACAAUUAAAGAAUUCAACAGCUCGUUAUAUUUUCCAUUGCCAAUGAAUCAUCAAAAACAUUAGAAAAAUAGUCCAAAAAAUUAUGAAGCGUUCAUAGUAGGAUCAGUACAGCACAUAGAGGCCCCAUGGAGAGCUUGGAUUACUCGGGUGUAAAGGGCGAGAGAAAAGAAAUAAUAGUGAACUUGAGAUUCUGUUGUUUAUUGAUUAAGGAGAAACAGCAAGGGAUACAUAUUGUAUGUAGAAAAUGCAUAGAAAACGAAUGUUGAUCCAGAUAUUUGAGGUUUACUUUCAAGUUAGGGGUCUGGGACACAGGCUACAUUGUUCAAGAGCGAUCUUCCUUAUUCGGACACAGGCUGUCAAAGUUCCCGAAGAGCGCCCACAGACAUAUGAAUGAAGGAAAUGGAUAAAUUAAUAAUGA